UGAAAAGAACUUUGAAGAGAGAGUUCAAGAGUACGUGAAACCGUUCAGGGGUAAACCUGAGAAACCCAAAAGAUCGAAUGGGGAGAUUCAGCGUUCAACGGCCCGUCUGGCUUGCGUGCGACGUCACGAUGUCGCGGUGUUAUGCGCCCUCGCCGGUGUGUAUAUACCGUGACACGUCGUCGCUGCGUCAUGACCGGCGCCGUCGGCGUGCACUUCUCCCCUAGUAGAACGUCGCGACCCGUUGUGCGUCGGCCAAAGGCUCGAAGGGUAGACUAUCGCGCUCUCUCCCCGGAGGGCGCGGCAGACCCUCGAAAGCCCGGCCCGACUGCUCGACGGUAUUCGAAUAUCACAAGGUGUGUAAUCGAGAGCCGCAUUUGAAUGCGUUCGGCGCGUCGGUCGGCUUCGGCUCGCUCGGUUAUUUUACGGACCUGGAAGCCGUUACUGGGCGCUUGCCGAGGCUUUUUGUACCGACGACGAUCUCGAACCGGCUAUGCGCGCACGAAAGCGUUCGCGCUCUCGCGCGCUCACCUGUCGGCGACGCUUUUGCUUUGGGUACUUUCAGGACCCGUCUUGAAACACGGACCAAGGAGUCUAACAUGUGCGCGAGUCAUUGGGUUUUUUUAUAUUAUAUUUAAAGCCUAAAGGCGCAAUGAAAGUGAAGAUACAGCAAGCAUUCUGGCCUGAGCCCAUCGAGGGAGGAUGGCCCGCGUCACGAUGCGGGCCCGCACUCCCGGGGCGUCUCGCGCUCAUUGCGAGCGGAGGCGCA
This 766-nucleotide ribosomal RNA is filed under the name Ixodiphagus hookeri. RNAcentral's name for it is "partial 28S ribosomal RNA". It matches the Rfam family "Eukaryotic large subunit ribosomal RNA", at positions 365 to 793 of the family's 3401-position model. The record is from RNAcentral. Lineage: Eukaryota; Metazoa; Arthropoda; Insecta; Hymenoptera; Encyrtidae.